GUGGGUAACCUGCCUCAUACAGGGGGAUAACAGUUAGAAAUGACUGCUAAUACCGCAUAAGCGCACAGCAUCGCAUGAUGCAGUGUGAAAAACUCCGGUGGUAUGAGAUGGACCCGCGUCUGAUUAGCUAGUUGGUGAGGUAAAGGCCCACCAAGGCGACGAUCAGUAGCCGACCUGAGAGGGUGAUCGGCCACAUUGGGACUGAGACACGGCCCAAACUCCUACGGGAGGCAGCAUG
Molecule: ribosomal RNA, 238 nt
Filed under: uncultured bacterium
Lineage: Bacteria
Description: partial 16S ribosomal RNA
Rfam family: Bacterial small subunit ribosomal RNA
Source: RNAcentral